RNAcentral lists this ribosomal RNA (497 nucleotides) under uncultured bacterium. RNAcentral describes it as "partial 16S ribosomal RNA". It matches the Rfam family "Bacterial small subunit ribosomal RNA", at positions 28 to 507 of the family's 1533-position model. The record is from RNAcentral.
GAUGAACGCUGGCGGCGUGCCUAAUACAUGCAAGUCGAGCGAACAGACGAGGAGCUUGCUCCUCUGACGUUAGCGGCGGACGGGUGAGUAACACGUGGAUAACCUACCUAUAAGACUGGGAUAACUUCGGGAAACCGGAGCUAAUACCGGAUAAUAUAUUGAACCGCAUGGUUCAAUAGUGAAAGACGGUUUUGCUGUCACUUAUAGAUGGAUCCGCGCGGCAUUAGCUAGUUGGUAAGGUAACGGCUUACCAAGGCAACGAUGCGUAGCCGACCUGAGAGGGGGAUCGGCCACACUGGAACUGAGACACGGUCCAGACUCCUACGGGAGGCAGCAGUAGGGAAUCUUCCGCAAUGGGCGAAAGCCUGACGGAGCAACGCCGCGUGAGUGAUGAAGGUCUUCGGAUCGUAAAACUCUGUUAUUAGGGAAGAACAAAUGUGUAAGUAACUAUGCACGUCUUGACGGUACCUAAUCAGAAAGCCACGGCUAACUACGUG